This 243-nucleotide ribosomal RNA is filed under the name uncultured bacterium. Its description in RNAcentral is "partial 16S ribosomal RNA". It matches the Rfam family "Bacterial small subunit ribosomal RNA", at positions 534 to 776 of the family's 1533-position model. The record is from RNAcentral.
GCGAACGUUGUUCGGAAUCACUGGGCGUAAAGCGCGUGUAGGCGGCCCACUAAGUCUGAUGUGAAAGCCCGGGGCUCACCCCCGGAAGUGCAUUGGAAACUGGUGGACUCGAGUCCCGGAGAGGAGAGUGGAAUUCCUGGUGUAGCGGUGAAAUGCGCAGAUAUCAGGAGGAACACCGGUGGCGAAGGCGGAUCUCUGGGCCAUUACUGACGCUGAGGAGCGAAAGCGUGGGGAGCGAACAGG